CUCGGAAGGAUCAUUACCACACCUAAAAAACUUUCCACGUGAACCGUAUCAACCCUUUCAGUUGGGGGCCUUGCUUUUUUGCGAGCCCUAUCAUGGCGAAUGUUUGGACUUCGGUCUGGGCUAGUAGCUUUUUGUUUUAAACCCAUUCUACAAUACUGAUUAUACUGUGGGGACGAAAGUCUCUGCUUUUAACUAGAUAGCAACUUUCAGCAGUGGAUGUCUAGGCUCGCACAUCGAUGAAGAACGCUGCGAACUGCGAUACGUAAUGCGAAUUGCAGGAUUCAGUGAGUCAUCGAAAUUUUGAACGCAUAUUGCACUUCCGGGUUAGUCCUGGGAGUAUGCCUGUAUCAGUGUCCGUACAUCAAACUUGGCUUUCUUCCUUCCGUGUAGUCGGUGGAGGAUGUGCCAGAUGUGAAGUGUCUUGCAGGUGUCCUUCGGGUCGUCUGCGAGUCCUUUGAAAUGUACUGAACUGUACUUCUCUUUGCUCGAAAAGCGUGGCGUUGCUGGUUGUGGAGGCUGCCUGCGUGGCCAGUCGGCGACCGGUUUGUCUGCUGCGGCGUUUAAUGGAGGAGUGUUCGAUUCGCGGUAUGGUUGGCUUCGGCUGAACAGGCGCUUAUUGUAUGCUUUUCCUGCUGUGGCGUGAUGGACUGGUGAACCGUAGCUGUGUGUGGCUUGGCUUUUGAAUCGGCUUUGCUGUUGCGAAGUAGAGUGGCGGCUCCGGCUGUCGAGGGUCGAUCCAUUUGGGAACUUUGUGUGCACCUCGGUGCGCAUCUCAAUUGGACCUGAUAUCAGGCAAGAUUAGCCGCUCACCUUAAGCAUCCACGAAACAGGGAGUUACCCCCCCUACAAACUUUCCACGU
RNAcentral lists this ribosomal RNA (860 nucleotides) under Phytophthora multivora. RNAcentral describes it as "eukaryotic LSU rRNA". The stretch from base 202 to 356 matches the Rfam family "5.8S ribosomal RNA". The record is from RNAcentral. Lineage: Eukaryota; Oomycota; Peronosporomycetes; Peronosporales; Peronosporaceae.